This 482-nucleotide ribosomal RNA is filed under the name uncultured bacterium. RNAcentral's name for it is "partial 16S ribosomal RNA". It matches the Rfam family "Bacterial small subunit ribosomal RNA", at positions 30 to 507 of the family's 1533-position model. The record is from RNAcentral.
AUUGAACGCUGGCGGCAUGCCUUACACAUGCAAAUCGAACGGUAACGGGCCUUCGGGUGCCGACGAGUGGCGCACGGGUGAGUAAUACAUCGGAACGUGCCCGAUCGUGGGGGAUAACGAGGCGAAAGCUUUGCUAAUACCGCAUACGAUCUACGGAUGAAAGCGGGGGACCGCAAGGCCUUGCGCGGACGGAGCGGCCGAUGGCAGAUUAGGUAGUUGGUGGGAUAAAAGCUUACCAAGCCGACGAUCUGUAGCUGGUCUGAGAGGAUGAUCAGCCACACUGGGACUGAGACACGGCCCAGACUCCUACGGGAGGCAGCAGUGGGGAAUUUUGGACAAUGGGCGCAAGCCUGAUCCAGCCAUGCCGCGUGCAGGAUGAAGGCCUUCGGGUUGUAAACUGAUUUUGUACGGAACGAAAAGCCUUCUUUUAAUACAGGAGGGUCAUGACGGUACCGUAAGAAUAAGCACCGGCUAACUACGUG